AAAAAAUCUAAGGUCUGUACUUUUCUCCUCUGAGCUGGCCUCCUGUAAACUUCAGAAAAAUUAUUUGCACCAUGAUUGGGUGAACCUUUGUAAACUAUACUUGUGAAUAAUGGUUCAAUAAUUGUUGCGACAUUA
This 135-nucleotide small nucleolar RNA is filed under the name Amborella trichopoda. RNAcentral describes it as "Small nucleolar RNA snoR74". It matches the Rfam family "Small nucleolar RNA snoR74". Lineage: Eukaryota; Viridiplantae; Streptophyta; Magnoliopsida; Amborellales; Amborellaceae. The record is from Rfam by way of RNAcentral.